AAAUGCGAUCAUACCAGCCCUAAUGCACCGGAUCCCAUCAGAACUCCACAGUUAAGCGUGCGUGGGCAAAAGUAGUACUUGGAUGGGCGACCUCCUUGGAAGUCCUCAUGUUGCACAUU
This 119-nucleotide ribosomal RNA is filed under the name Cicer arietinum (chickpea). The record is from RNAcentral. Lineage: Eukaryota; Viridiplantae; Streptophyta; Magnoliopsida; Fabales; Fabaceae.